AUUGGGUUGGUGCAAAAGUAAUUGCAGUUUUGGCCAUUACUUUCAAUGGCAAAACCUGCAAUUACUUUUGCACCAACUUAAUAUCU
RNAcentral lists this microRNA precursor (86 nucleotides) under Chlorocebus sabaeus (green monkey). RNAcentral describes it as "miRNA (ENSCSAG00000027578.1)". Lineage: Eukaryota; Metazoa; Chordata; Mammalia; Primates; Cercopithecidae. The record is from RNAcentral.